UCUCCCACUCCCCCUGCUUGUGUUCCUGCUCUCGCUAUGUCUCUGUCAAAUAAAUAAAUAAAAUCUUUAAAAAAAAAAAAAAAAAAAGAGUCUUCUGCUCUACCGACUGUGAGCCAGCCUGGUGCCCCAUUCUUCUCUUUAUUAAACUUUAAUAAGCUUUAAUCUUUACCAAGAAAGUGCCAAGGCCAAAGCACCGAUAAAGUAAAAUAGUCUUUUUUUUUAAGACUCUGAGAACAGGUGCAUGGUAUAAGAACCUGACUGCCAAGCAGUCUAUGUGAUAUUGUAGUUGUCAUUCUAAUUAAUGACCCAAAUUCUCUCAAUAGGCCCAGAUAUCCCAUCUCCCAUUAAGUUUACUUGGAUCGGUUUUCAUUAUUCCUUUUCCAUUUUGGUUUCCUCAGCAUCAAAGGGGAAAUUUGCUAAGUGUGCAAGGUGAAUGUUUGAACCUGAAUAUGAAGAAAGAGUAGACCUGCUUACUAAUAACUUUAGUUUAUGUGGCUUCCAAGAAGAGUAGACUUCAUUAUAUGUUUUAGGACUCCCAUGGUUCUUGGUUCUCUAUUUUACUCUUCCAGAGACCAACAAGAGAUACCUUUUUGAAUUCACCCUAUGUGGACUGGACCAUGCCCAAGGAUUUUCAUGGGCAGCGCAGUGGGUCUUACGGUAACUCUGAGAAGAGGUAGCAGAAAAGAUCUGUUAAGAAAUCUGGGCAUUUUAUAACCAGGUGAGAUCAGAUGACUCUUCUAUUAAAACAAGGAUCUCCAGACUGGGGAUUCAACAAGAGGGAAAGAAUGGCAUCUGUUACAAGAAAGUCAUUUCUGGGGCUCUUUGGAAGAAAAGAGAAAGACAAGACAAAUCCUGAAUUCUUAUUUACCACAACAAUAUUCUAUUAAACUCUGUGUAUUAAAUACACAUCAUAUCAACCAUAUUAGCUAGCAAUUAAAUGAAGUGAGCCAAAAUGAACAAAUAUUCUUGAACAGUAAGUUCAACAUAAAAUAUAACAGAAACAGAAAAACUCUGGAUCUUUUUUUUUUAAAAGCUAUUAGCAGGAUAACAUGUAUAUAAAGAUUCUAUCCUCAACAUGUCUGAAGCCAUGGCCAUCAGUAUUUUUCUCCCAGCUAUUUUUCUUACUUGAGAAAUAAGGUAAAUUACACAGUCGUAUCCAACUUUACUGAAUAUGUUACUGAAAUAAUCAAUUUCAAGUUUUCUGUGAGACAGAACUUCUUUAUGAGAAUGUGAACAUAGCAGAGUGCUAACUUAGAGACUAACACUUUGCUUUCUGAGGAAGUAUCCUGGACAUCAAAAUCAACAAUUGAACAUGACACAUCAACUCUCUCCUCCUUUCACCACAAAAAAUCGGUACAUGUUUAGCUUUGUUUGACUGCUGUUAAGUCCUUAAUAUUUUCUCCUGAGAAAAGGUAGAAGACAAAAGCCCAGAGCCAAGUUCUUUUCCAGGGGGCUGUGGAAGAAAGCUUUUGGCAAAUGAAAAUGGGAGAUGCACUAAUGUUAAUACUGCUUCUUUAAGGAGAGGUAAUUACCCCCAGAAGAUGGAGAGGGGGUUAUUUUCUCAUUCUUCGGAGAAAUAUUUAAAUCCUAGAAUAAUGAAGAUUCACUUUACUUUGACUUUCUUACUAUUUCAUAACCAUAUCCCAUUGAACCAGUUUUUAUCCACGUACUAUUGCAAUAAUUCAUUGGCUUUAUCACAUUACUUUAUUCUCUCACUAUAAAUUUGAAUCACUUUGAAAUAAAGGAAGAAUGAAAUAGAAAAACUGAAAAUAAUAGUUUAAUUCUGGGCUAGCCCCUUCCUUCAAGUUACAAGUUCCAUUUCUUUUACAGGGAAAUUGUUUGUAAAAGGAAGAAAUAUAUUUAGGUUAUCUUUCUAUCUAAUCUUAUGUGUUUAGGCAUGGAACGAAAUGAAAAUUAAACUAUUCUUUUGAAACUAAUGAGAAUGAGAUAUUAUUUUAAUGAGGAUAUACUGACAUAUUGGAUUUGUACGCUGGCAUAGAGAAUGGACUUUUUGGAAGGUUAUAUGUAUUUUAGGGUUGUAAUUAUCAUCAUAUCAUCAUCAUCACCCUAUCAAUAAUUCAGAUAAAUAUUUUGCAUUACUUUCUCUCACAUCCAUCCUGUGAGAGAGGAAAUGCAGCUUGCUAUUAUCCCCAAUUCAAGAAAGAAGAAUCUAAGGUUAGGGGGCGCCUGGGUGGCUCAGUCAUUAAGUGUCUGCCUUCGGCUCAGGUCAUGAUCCCAGGGUCCUGGGAUCGAGCCCCGCAUCGGGCUCCCUGCUCGGCAGGAAGCCUGCUUCUCCCUCUCCCACUCCCCCUGCUUGUGUUCCCUCUCUCGCUGUGUCUUUCUCUGUCAAAUAAAUAAAUACAAUCUUUAAAAAAACAAAACAAAACAAAAACGUAAGUAGACUUCUGCUUAUAAACUGGAGCUAGGACAACUAGGAAAGCUGAAUAAAAUACAAACAUCAGGGUGAAGUCACUGGAGAGGCAACCUAAGACCUGAGAACUCAGUUCCUGGGAAGGCCUAGCAAGCAGAGAGUGAGCUGACAUUCUGUCACAGCUUUUUCCUUCAGGCACCUGAAUUCUUCCUGGAGGCAGGGGCAGUUAGAAGCAGCAAAACUAGCAGAGCUUUUGGCAGUCUUGAAGGGGUGCAGUCAAAAAUUGAGGGGCUAAGAAUCUGCGGUAAAGGAAUGGGUGGAGAACCGGACUCAGCUGGUUUCCUUCUCAAGCGUGUUGCCAAAUUCUGAGGGGAACUUCAGGCAACUAAUGAGCAAAAACAUAUACCUCUGCAAAGCAGAGUGGAUUUUUCAGCAGUUUCCUAGUUUUAAGAAAAUGGAGGGAUUUGGGCACCUGGGUGGCUCAGAUGGUUAAGCGUCUGCCGUCGGCUUAGGUCAUGAUCCCAGGGUCCUGGGAUCGAGUCCCGCAUCGGGCUUCCUGCUCCUUGGGAGCCUGCUUCUCCCUCUGCCUCUCUCUCUCUGUCUCUCAUGAAUAAAUAAAUAAAAUCUUAAAAAAAAAAAAAAAAGAAAAUGGAGGGAUUUAAGUUCUGACCUUAAUCAGGGGCCCUGUGAAUACCUCAGACUUUCAGAUACAUAUUUCUGAGAACCGAAUUUACUAUUAUGAAGUAAUUCUCUUUCAUGUUAAUAAUGGAUUUUUUUCCUUAAUGUCUAUUUUGUUUCACAUUAUUGUAGCUAACUCUUUCUCUUAGUUACCAUUAACAUGGUAUUAGCUCUUGCCAUCUUUUGAUAUUCAAACUUUCUGUGUCCUUAUAUUUCAGAGAUGUCUUUUCUGAACAGCCCAUAGUUGGGUUUCAUUAUUUCAUUCAGGACUUUAAUCAGAGAUUUUUGUCAUCUAUACUUAAUAUAAUUACUCAGCUUUAAAUCUGUCAUCUUCCUGAAUAUUCUCCAUACCUUGUUUAUUUUUCAUACUCUUUUCUUUCCAUUUUUGUUUUCUUUUAGAUUUUAUCCUAGUAUGUAUCUCAUUACAGUUUCUUUGGUAGUUAUCCUAGCGAUUACAACAUGCAUAAUACCUAACAUACUCUUAUUCCUUACCAUAUAAGUUUGAUAUAAUACAAGGAUGCUAGGGCAUUUUAAUUCCAACUGUCCCACUGCCAUUGGCAUCAUUUAAAAAAAAUAUAUUUUAAUUUAAAUUUAAUUAACAUAUACUGUAUUAUUAGUUUUGGAGGUAGAAUUUAGUGAUUCACCAGUUGCAUCUAAUACCCAGUGCUCAUUAUUUCAAGUGCCCUCCAUAAUGCCCAUCACUCAGUUACCCCAUCCCCAUCCCCACUUCCCCUCUAGCAACCCUCAGUUUGUUUCCUAUAGUUAAGAGUUUCUCAUGGUUUGCCUCCCUCUUUGUUUUCAUCUUAUUUUUCCUUCCUUUCCCCUAUGUUCAUCUAUUUUGUUUUCUUAAAUUCCACAUAUGAGUGAAGUCAUGUGGUAUUUGUCUUUGACUUAUUUUGCUUAGCAUAAUACCCUCUAGUUCCAUCCAUGUCUUUGCAAAUGACAAGAUUUCAUUCUUUUUGAUGGCUGAGUAGUGUUCCAUUGUGUGUGUGUGUGUGUGUAUAUAUGUGUGUGUAUAUAUAUAUAUAUACACACACACACACACCACAUCUUUAUCCAUUCAUCUGUUGAUGGACAUCUAGGCUCUUUCCAUAUUUUGGCUAUUGUUGAUAGUACUGCUAUAAACAUUGGGGUGCAUAUGCCCCUUCGAAUCACUAUUUUUGUAUCCUUUGGAUAGAUACCUAGGAGUGCAAUGCUGGGUCAUAGGGUAGCUCUAUUUUUAACUUUUUGAGGAGCCUCCAUACUGUUUUCCAGAGUGGCCACACCAGUGUGCAUGCCCACCAACAGUGUAAGAGGGUCCCUCUUUCUCUGCAUCCCCGCCAACAUCUAUGUUUCCUGAGUUGUUCAUUUUAGCCAUUCUGACCAGUGUGAGGUCGUAUCUCAUGGUGGUUUGAUUUGUAUUUCCCUGAUGCCAAGUGAUGAUGAAUAUUUUUUCAUGUGUCUUUUGGCCAUUUGUAUGUCUUCUUUGGAGAAAUGUCUGUUCGUGUCUUCUGCCCAUUUCUUGACCAGAUUUUUUGUUUUUUUGGGUGUUGAGUUUGAUAAGUUCUUUAUAGAUUUUGGAUACUUUAUCUGAUAAGACAUUUGCGAAUAUCUUCUCCCAUUCUGUAGGUUGCCUUUUAGUUUUGUAGACUGUUUCUGUUGGUGUGCAAAAGCUUUUUAUCUUGAUGAAGUUCCAGUAGUUCAUUUUUGCUUUUGUUUCCCUUGCCUUUGGAGACGUGUCUAGCAAGAAGUUGCUGUGGUUGAGGUCAAAGAGGUUGCUGCCUGUGUUCUCUACUCGGAUUUUGAUGGGUUCCUGUCUCACAUUUAGGUCUUUCAUCCAUUUUGGGUUUAUUUUUGUGUACGGUGUAAGAAAGUAGUUGAGUUUCAUUCUUCUGCAUGUGGCUGUUCAAUUUUCCCAACACCAUUUGUUGAAGAGACUGUCUUUUUUCCAUUGGAUAUUCUUUCCUGCUUUGUCAAAGAUUAGUUGAUCAUAGAGUUGAGGGUCCAUUUCUGGGUUCCUAUUUUGUUCCAUUGAUCUAUGUGUCUGUUUUUGUGCCCGCACCACACUGUCUUGAUGAUUACAGCUUUGUAAUACAGGUUGAAGUGUGGAACUGUGAUGCCUCCAGCUUUGUUUUUUUUCAACAUUACUUUGGCUAUUCAGGGACUUUUCUGGUUCCAUACAAAUUUUAGGAUUGUUUAUUCUAGCUCUGUGAAAAAUGCUGAUGGCAUUUUGAUAGGGAUUGAAUUGAAUGUAUAGAUUGAUUUGAGUAGCAUAGACAUUUUAACAGUAUUUGUUCUUCCAAUCCAUGAGCAUGGAAUGUUUUUCCAUUUCUUUGUGUCUUCCACAAUUUCUUUCUUAAGUGUUCUAUAGUUUUCAAGUACAGGUCCUUUACCUCUUUGGUUACAUUUAUUCCUAGGUAUCUUAUGGUUUUUGGUCCAAUUGUACAUGGGAUCCAUUCCUUGAUUUCUCUUUCUUUUGCUUCACUGUUAGUGUAUAGAAAUGUAACUGAUUUCUCUGUAUUGAUUUUAUAUACUGUGACUCUGUUGAAUUUCUGUAUCAGUUCUAGCAGUUUUUUGGUGGAGUCUUUCAUGUUUUAAAAUUCUUUCUUUAGGGGCAACUGGGUAGCUCAGUUGGUUAAGUGUCCGACUUUUGAUUUUGGCUCAGGUCAUGAUCUCAGGGUUGUGAGAUACAGGCCCAUGUUGGGCUCCAUGCGGGAUUGGAGCCUGCUUAAGAUUAUCUCUCUCUUCCUCUGUCCCCAUCCCCCAACGCCCACUCACCCACACAUUCUCUCUCUCUCAAAAUAAAUAAAUAAAUAAAUAAAAAUAAAAAAAUUCUUUAUUUAAAACUCUCAGGACUUUUAAAAAAUUUUUCCAACAGAAAUGUUCAUUUAAUUUAUUCAUGUAGCUUAUCCCUUUGUUGCUGUAUAUUCUUUCUCGCAUUUUCAGUCUUCCAACAGGGAUCAUUCUUUCUUUUGCCUGAAGAACAGUACACUAGUAUUUUCUUUAGUGUAGGUCUUCUAGAGAUAAAUUUCCUCCAUUUUUGACUGUCUAAAAAUACUUUUGUUGGGGUACCUGGGUGGCUCGGUCGGUUAAGCAUCUGCUUUCGGCUCAGGUCAUAGUCCCAGGGUCCUCGGAUCGAGUCCCGCAUCGGGCUCCCUGCUCAGUGGGAAGCUUGCUUCUCCCUCUCCUACUUCCCCUGCUUGUGUUCCCUCUCUCGCUGUCUCUCUCUGUCAAAUCAAUCAUUCAAUAAAUAAAAAUCUUUAAAAAAAAUAAAAUACUUUUAUUCUUUAAUGAUAUCUUUACUGGAUGUUGACUACCAUCAAGAUUGAUAGCCAUUGUCUUUCAGCAAUUUAAAGAUACUGUUCUACUGUGUUGGCUUUUUUGUUUUUGGGAGAAGUCAGAUGUCAGUCUAACUCUUACUCCUUUGAAAUCAAUGUUUUUAAUUCUCUGGCUGCUUUUAAUAUUUCUUAAUUAUCUUUGGUUUUUAGCAGUUAACUUUGGAUUUGUUUUUAUUUAUUUUGUUUCAGUUAUUUGGACUUCUUACGCCUUUGGCUUAUUUCUUUUCAUCAUUUUUGGAAAGUUGUAGCUAUUGCUUCUGGCUUAUUCUCUCAUCUCCUGGGGUUUCCAAUUAUAGAAAUCUUAUUCCUUCUCAGUGUAUCUCCUAUGUUGCUUAGUCCCUCUUCUUUAUCUUCCUUUUUUCUGUAUCUUGCUUUUUUCUUUUUUUUUUCUUCAUGCUUCAUUCUGGAUAUUUUCUUUGGCCUGUCUUCCAGUGCACUAAUUAACUUUUUUUUUUUUUGUAGUUUUUAAUUUUAUUAUGUUAUGUUAGUCACCAUACAAUACAUCAUUAGUUUUUGAUGUAGUGAUCCACGAUCCAUUGUUUUCGUAUAACACCCAGCGCUCCAUGCAGUAUGUGCCCUCCUUAAUACCCAUCACCGGGCUAACCAAUCCCCCCUCCCCCCUAAAACCCUGUUUGUUUCUCAGGUCCAUAGUCUCUCAUGGUUCAUCUCUCCCUCCAAUUCCCCCCAGCCAUUUUUCCCUUCCUUCUCCUAAUGUCCUCCAUGCUAUUCCUUAUGUUCCAUAAAUAAGUGAAACCAUAUGAUAAUUGACUUUCUCUGAUUGACUUAUUUCAUUUAGCAUAAUCUCCUCCAGUCCCAUCCAUGUUGAUGUAAAAGUUGGGUAUUCAUCUUUUCUGAUGGCUGAGUAAUAUUCCAUUGUAUAUAUGGACCACAUCUUUAUCCAUUCAUCUGUUGAAGGGCAUCUCGGCUCUUUCCACAGUUUGGCUAUUGCGGACAUUGCUGCUAUGAACGCUAAUUAACUUUUUAGCUGUGUCUAAUCUGCUUUAAACAUCCAUUAAUUUUUAAUUUUGAUUUUCUAAUAUUUCCAACAUCUAUUCUCUUUAUUGUUUUUAUGUCUCUACUAAAUUUCUCAGUCCUUUCUUUUCUGUACUUGGCCAUAGUAAAUUUCGUUCUUUCUUUUUUUUUUAAUUUUGUUAUUUCUGUUAGUGUAUAGUCUCAUACCCAUGUGGGCCUAGCUAUUUUUCAUUAUGUGCUGAACCUUAUAUUGUUUUUAGAAAUAAUAUGAGUCCUAGACUGAUGUUACCUUCCUCUAGAGAAUAUUCUCAAUCCAGUUUUAGGGAUUCAGCUGAUCUAACACUGAGCUUUAGUUAUCUUUAAGGUAAAUUCAGGGUCUCAACACAGAUUAAGAGAGUCCAUCAGGUCCACCCCUCCUCUGGCAGACCUUACCUUCCACUUCCUAUGCCUGUAGGCUCAGGAAGCUAAUGAAAGGUCCAUUUACUUCCCCUGGUGCCCUCUUUAGAAUUAGCAAACACCAAACACUAAGGGAAAAGCAGCUCCAAAAGUCAGGUACACCUUACGUGGCUUCUUCAGGACCCUGUCCUGGUAAUUUUUCCUUUUAUCCUAUGACUCCAAGCAGACUUAAAAAAAAAAAAAAAAUCCAGUUUUUGUAGUUGGCUCCAGGAGACAGGCAGG
Mirounga angustirostris (Northern elephant seal) is the source of this 8016-nucleotide long non-coding RNA. RefSeq lists it as uncharacterized. Lineage: Eukaryota; Metazoa; Chordata; Mammalia; Carnivora; Phocidae. The record is from RefSeq and is a predicted model, not a curated record. The transcript is spliced from 3 exons.